GAUGAACGCUGGCGGCGUGCUUAACACAUGCAAGUCGAACGGUGAAGGCGGAGCUUGCUCUGCUGGAUCAGUGGCGAACGGGUGAGUAACACGUGAGCAAUCUGCCCCUGACUCUGGGAUAAGCGCUGGAAACGGCGUCUAAUACUGGAUACGAGCUGCGAAGGCAUCUUCAGCAGCUGGAAAGAAUUUCGGUCAGGGAUGAGCUCGCGGCCUAUCAGCUUGUUGGUGAGGUAAUGGCUCACCAAGGCGUCGACGGGUAGCCGGCCUGAGAGGGUGACCGGCCACACUGGGACUGGGACACGGCCCAGACUCCUACGGGAGGCAGCAGUGGGGAAUAUUGCACAAUGGGCGAAAGCCUGAUGCAGCAACGCCGCGUGAGGGACGACGGCCUUCGGGUUGUAAACCUCUUUUAGCAGGGAAGAAGCGAAAGUGACGGUACCUGCAGAAAAAGCGCCGGCUAACUACGUG
Molecule: ribosomal RNA, 468 nt
Filed under: uncultured bacterium
Lineage: Bacteria
Description: partial 16S ribosomal RNA
Rfam family: Bacterial small subunit ribosomal RNA
Source: RNAcentral